AGUGAACGCUGGCGGUAGGCCUAACACAUGCAAGUCGAACGGCAGCACAGUAAGAGCUUGCUCUUACGGGUGGCGAGUGGCGGACGGGUGAGGAAUAAAUCGGAAUCUACUUUUUCGUGGGGGAUAACGAAGGGAAACUUAUGCUAAUACCGCAUACGACCUACGGGUGAAGGCAGUGGAUCUUCGGACCUUGCGCGUUUGAAUGAGCCGAUGUCGGAUUAGCUAGUUGGCGGGGUAAAGGCCCACCAAGGCGACGAUCCGUAGCUGGUCUGAGAGGAUGACCAGCCACACUGGGACUGAGACACGGUCCAGACUCCUACGGGAGGCAGCAGUGGGGAAUAUUGGACAAUGGGCGCAAGCCUGAUCCAGCCAUACCGCGUGUGUGAAGAAGGCCUUCGGGUUGUAAAGCACUUUUGUUGGGAAAGAAAAGCAGCAGGUUAAUACCCCGCUGUUCUGACGGUACCCAAAGAAUAAGCACCGGCUAACUUCGUG
Molecule: ribosomal RNA, 492 nt
Filed under: uncultured bacterium
Lineage: Bacteria
Description: partial 16S ribosomal RNA
Rfam family: Bacterial small subunit ribosomal RNA
Source: RNAcentral